GGGUUGUGGCUCAGCGGUAGAGCACUUGCCUAGCACAUGUGAGACCCUGAAUUCGAUCCUCAGCCCCA
RNAcentral lists this transfer RNA (68 nucleotides) under Marmota monax (woodchuck). RNAcentral's name for it is "tRNA.Ala". Lineage: Eukaryota; Metazoa; Chordata; Mammalia; Rodentia; Sciuridae. The record is from RNAcentral.